This 108-nucleotide ribosomal RNA is filed under the name uncultured bacterium. Its description in RNAcentral is "partial 16S ribosomal RNA". It matches the Rfam family "Bacterial small subunit ribosomal RNA", at positions 1378 to 1482 of the family's 1533-position model. The record is from RNAcentral.
CCGUUGUACACACCGCCCGUCCACACCAUGGGAGUGGGUUUCACCAGAAGCCGGUCGCCUAACCGCAAGGGGGGCGGCCGACCACGGUGAGAGUUCAUGACUGGGGUG